GGAGGGAUGGCUGAGUCCGGUUUAAGGCGCUCGAUUCGAAAUCGAGUGUAGGGCAACCUACCGUGGGUUCGAAUCCCACUCCCUCCGCCA
Molecule: transfer RNA, 90 nt
Filed under: bacterium
Lineage: Bacteria
Also listed under: 3 other names
Description: tRNA-Ser
Rfam family: tRNA
About the family: Transfer RNA (tRNA) molecules are approximately 80 nucleotides in length. Their secondary structure includes four short double-helical elements and three loops (D, anti-codon, and T loops). Further hydrogen bonds mediate the characteristic L-shaped molecular structure. tRNAs have two regions of fundamental functional importance: the anti-codon, which is responsible for specific mRNA codon recognition, and the 3' end, to which the tRNAs corresponding amino acid is attached (by aminoacyl-tRNA synthetases). tRNAs cope with the degeneracy of the genetic code in two manners: having more than one tRNA (with a specific anti-codon) for a particular amino acid; and 'wobble' base-pairing, i.e. permitting non-standard base-pairing at the 3rd anti-codon position.
Source: RNAcentral